UGUUAAAAAUUUCAUUCAUUUGUAUUGUUAAAACUAGUGUGACUGAAGAAUAACCAGACAAUGACAUGUGACAUGUCAUGUGUAUGUCAUGCUGACGUACGAGAACCAGUUUGUAACAGUAAAAAUGGAUGAAAUUUUUAAUA
Gossypium raimondii (Peruvian cotton) is the source of this 143-nucleotide non-coding RNA. The record is from Rfam. Lineage: Eukaryota; Viridiplantae; Streptophyta; Magnoliopsida; Malvales; Malvaceae.